UACGUAGGGGGCAAGCGUUGUCCGGAUUUAUUGGGCGUAAAGAGCGUGUAGGCGGUUUGGUAGGUCUGCUGUGAAAACUCGAGGCUCAACCUCGAGACGCCGGUGGAAACCAUCAGGCUAGAGUCCGGAAGAGGAGAGUGGAAUUCCUGGUGUAGCGGUGAAAUGCGCAGAUAUCAGGAAGAACACCCGUGGCGAAGGCAGCUCCCUGGGACGGUACUGACGCUGAGACGCGAAAGCGUGGGGAGCGAACAGG
This 253-nucleotide ribosomal RNA is filed under the name uncultured bacterium. RNAcentral describes it as "partial 16S ribosomal RNA". It matches the Rfam family "Bacterial small subunit ribosomal RNA", at positions 524 to 776 of the family's 1533-position model. The record is from RNAcentral.